GCAGCACCCCUCCAUGACCUGCAUCAGCUCCUAACGCCUGGUCCCUGCCCUUUUUGAGUUCCUGUCCUGACUUCCUUCGUUGAUGGACUAUGAUGUGGAAGUGUGUAAGUCAGAUAAACCUUUUCCUCCCCAGAUUGUUUCUGGUCAUGGUGUUUUCAGCACAGCAAUAGAAACCCUAACUAGGCCAGAAAUUGGUACCAAGAUAAUGGGGUAUUGCUGCAGCAGAGCUGACUGUGUGUUUUGGGGGAGGAUUGUAGAGUGCCUACCAAGUGUUCAAAGCUUUGAUGAGCUGUUCUGUAGAAGCCUGGAAGAAACGAGCACUGAGAGAAAUACAGACAAUGAAGGCCUGGCUUAUGAUGUUCCAGGGGAAAUUUGAGAACUACUUAAGACUUUCGGGACACUUGCAUAUUUAGCAUUUUAUUAAAAAUUCCGUGGUUCUGGUCAUCCAAGGCUGAAGAGUUAGUUAGCUGUGGUUAACAAGAAACCAGUGCCACUAAUGUGAAACCUUUGCGUUACUGGGUUAAUUGAUGCCGGCUAGCUGGAGCUGAGAAAACAGGCGAUUAAGAAGAGGUGAAAACUUCUGGAGUUAUUUCCUGAGAGUCAGCACACAGAAGCUGUGUUCCAGAGGCAGCCAAGGCUGUACCUCACUCCGGCAGCUGAACUUGGUAGUGUAAGAGUCACCACGUGGUGCUGAUUUUGAAGGCACCGAGGGUCAUGGAGAGCAGCUGGGGAUUGACACCGUGAGAGGCCAGGAGAGGCCGUCGGUGAAGGUGCAGCCUAAGUAGCAGUUGAAGGCCCAGGAUUGAAGGCCGCACGUAGAGAAGAUGAGGCUUGGAGCCAUGGAGAGAGCGCAGGAGAGUCUAAUGGUCAAAAUGCAGCCCAGUUUCAGCAGAAGACCCCAACAUUUUAGAGACACCAGUGCCAUGGGACAAUGGGCCUGGAAGUGACAGCAGUGGAGUUUAGAAGACAACGCUGUGUGCCGCAGAGGGCUGAGCCAGAGAAGACACACUGUGUGCCACAGGCAGAGGGUUCAGCAAGAGAAGAGACCCACGCCCCUUGGGAGGAGCCCAGAAGAUAAAGAAGUUACUUUUGCUUUUAGCAAGUAGAGUGGACCCACUGAAGACUGUUUACUGUAAAUCCAAGGUCACCUUAAUUCUGUUAGAAAUGAAGAUGGAAGACAUUCAGGACUGACCAAUACCAGAGUAUACUUCUGUGCUCCAGAUGAAAUCCAGGAUUUCCAGGCUGCCUUUCCUAGUCAAGCCUGGACUUAUAUACUUUCUGUUUCUCUGGCUCUGUGUCAUUGUGCUGACUAUCUCAACCUCACUGCACCUCUAGUAAAGUGUGGUCUUCUCAUGAUCUAAUGAGAACAUCAAAAAUAGGAGCAUAAAAGGAUCCACUUCUAUUCCCUGGUGUUCCCUCUGUCGAUUAGGUAUCUGUGUUAAUGUCCUGUUAUAUAUUAAGUGAUAAACCUUGAAUCAGAUGUUACUAUGUCAGAGAGAAAAACGAGCUCAAUCGAAAAAUACCUAUGUGCUAAUUACUUUAACCUAGAGCUAUUAGCCCAAUAUUAAACACAGAUAGACUAAUGAAGACUUU
This is a long non-coding RNA of Mesocricetus auratus (golden hamster), 1593 nucleotides long. RefSeq lists it as uncharacterized. The record is from RefSeq and is a predicted model, not a curated record. The transcript is spliced from 2 exons. NCBI's taxonomy places the organism in Eukaryota, Metazoa, Chordata, Mammalia, Rodentia, Cricetidae.